AAGCGGUGGAUGAUGUGGAUUAAUUCGAUGCAACGCGAAAACCUUACCUACCCUUGACAUGUCCGGAAUCCCGAAGAGAUUUGGGAGUGCUCGCAAGAGAACCGGAACACAGGUGCUGCAUGGCUGUCGUCAGCUCGUGUCGUGAGAUGUUGGGUUAAGUCCCGCAACGAGCGCAACCCUUGUCAUUAGUUGCCAUCAUUUGGUUGGGCACUCUAAUGAGACUGCCGGUGACAAACCGGAGGAAGGUGGGGAUGACGUCAAGUCCUCAUGGCCCUUACGGGUAGGGCUUCACACGUCAUACAAUGGUCGGUACAGAGGGUUGCCAACCCGCGAGGGGGAGCUAAUCCCACAAAGCCGAUCGUAGUCCGGAUCGCAGUCUGCAACUCGACUGCGUGAAGUCGGAAUCGCUAGUAAUCGUGGAUCAGCAUGUCACGGUGAAUACGUUCCCGGGUCUU
This 455-nucleotide ribosomal RNA is filed under the name uncultured Rhodocyclaceae bacterium. RNAcentral describes it as "bacterial SSU rRNA". It matches the Rfam family "Bacterial small subunit ribosomal RNA", at positions 927 to 1382 of the family's 1533-position model. The record is from RNAcentral. Lineage: Bacteria; Pseudomonadati; Pseudomonadota; Betaproteobacteria; Rhodocyclales; Rhodocyclaceae.